Molecule: ribosomal RNA, 253 nt
Filed under: uncultured bacterium
Lineage: Bacteria
Description: partial 16S ribosomal RNA
Rfam family: Bacterial small subunit ribosomal RNA
Source: RNAcentral
GACGAACCGUGCGAACGUUGUUCGGAUUCACUGGGCUUAAAGGGCGCGUAGGCGGCCUUCUAAGUCGAACGUGAAAUCCCCGGGCUCAACCCGGGAACUGCGUCCGAUACUGGAAGGCUUGAAUCCGGGAGAGGGAUGCGGAAUUCCAGGUGUAGCGGUGAAAUGCGUAGAUAUCUGGAGGAACACCGGUGGCGAAGGCGGCAUCCUGGACCGGCAUUGACGCUGAGGCGCGAAAGCCAGGGGAGCAAACGGG